CCUACGGGAGGCAGCAGUGGGGAAUCUUGCGCAAUGGGCGAAAGCCUGACGCAGCAACGCCGCGUGCGGGAAGAAGGCUUUCGGGCUGUAAACCGCUUUCAGCAGGAACGAAAAUGACGGUACCUGCAGAAGAAGGAGCGGCCAACUAUGUGCCAGCAGCCGCGGUGAUACAUAGGCUUCAAGCGUUGUCCGGAUUUAUUGGGCGUAAAGAGUUCGUAGGCGGUCGAGUAAGUCGGGUGUGAAAAUUCUGGGCUCAACCCAGAGACGCCACCCGAUACUGCUUGACUUGAGUUCGAUAGGGGAGUGGGGAAUUCCUAGUGUAGCGGUGAAAUGCGCAGAUAUUAGGAGGAACACCGGUGGCGAAGGCGCCACUCUGGAUCGAUACUGACGCUGAGGAACGAAAGCAUGGGUAGCAAACAGGAUUAGAUACCCUGGUAGUCCAUGCCGUAAACGGUGGGCACUAGGUGUGGGUUUCUAUUAACGAAAUCCGCGCCGUCGCUAACGCAUUAAGUGCCCCGCCUGGGGAGUACGGUCGCAAGACUAAAACUUAAGGAAUUGACGG
This 562-nucleotide ribosomal RNA is filed under the name uncultured bacterium. Its description in RNAcentral is "bacterial SSU rRNA". It matches the Rfam family "Bacterial small subunit ribosomal RNA", at positions 338 to 916 of the family's 1533-position model. The record is from RNAcentral.